Molecule: ribosomal RNA, 430 nt
Filed under: Acidobacteriota bacterium
Lineage: Bacteria; Pseudomonadati; Acidobacteriota
Description: Acidobacteria bacterium partial 16S ribosomal RNA
Rfam family: Bacterial small subunit ribosomal RNA
Source: RNAcentral
UGGGGAAUAUUGGACAAUGGGCGAAAGCCUGAUCCAGCCAUGCCGCGUGUGUGAAGAAGGCCUUUUGGUUGUAAAGCACUUUAAGCGAGGAGGAGGCUACUUGGAUUAAUACUCUAGGAUAGUGGACGUUACUCGCAGAAUAAGCACCGGCUAACUCUGUGCCAGCAGCCGCGGUAAUACAGAGGGUGCGAGCGUUAAUCGGAUUUACUGGGCGUAAAGCGUGCGUAGGCGGCUUCUUAAGUCGGAUGUGAAAUCCCUGAGCUUAACUUAGGAAUUGCAUUAGAUACUGGGAAGCUAGAGUAUGGGAGAGGAUGGUAGAAUUCCAGGUGUAGCGGUGAAAUGCGUAGAGAUCUGGAGAAAUAACGAUGGCGAAGGCAGCCAUCUGGCCUAAUACUGACGCUGAGGUAAGAAAGCAUGGGGAGCAAACAAG